AGGCUGCUCUGUGUUCAGGUUAAAGGCUGUGACCUGGUUCAAGUAAUCCAGGAUAGGCUGUGUGUGAUCAGAUUGGCCUAUUCUUGAUUACUUGCACUGGGGGGCAGCUGUAACUCUUCAAUGAAAAGAACCAGAUGAG
Molecule: microRNA precursor, 139 nt
Filed under: Lepisosteus oculatus (spotted gar)
Lineage: Eukaryota; Metazoa; Chordata; Actinopteri; Semionotiformes; Lepisosteidae
Description: miRNA (ENSLOCG00000019751.1)
Rfam family: mir-26 microRNA precursor family (bases 27-107)
About the family: The hairpin precursors (represented here) are predicted based on base pairing and cross-species conservation -- their extents are not known. In this case the mature sequence is excised from the 5' arm of the hairpin.
Source: RNAcentral